UACGAGUGCCCCAAGCGUUAUCCGGAAUUACUGGGCGUAAAGAGUGUGUAGGCGGCUUUGUUAGUCUUUUGUUAAAGCCUCGGGCUUAACCUGAGAGAUGCAAAAGAAACGGCAAAGCUUUGAGGAUGUGAGAGGUUAGUGGAACUCAUGGUGUAGGGGUGAAAUCCGUUGAUAUCAUGGGGAACGCCAAAAGCGAAGGCAGCUAACUGGCACAUAACUGACGCUGAGACACGAAAGCGUGGGUAGCGAACGGG
This 254-nucleotide unclassified non-coding RNA is filed under the name Candidatus Vogelbacteria bacterium. Its description in RNAcentral is "contains 16S-23S intergenic spacer region". It matches the Rfam family "Bacterial small subunit ribosomal RNA", at positions 524 to 776 of the family's 1533-position model. The record is from RNAcentral. Lineage: Bacteria; Candidatus Vogeliibacteriota.